RNAcentral lists this ribosomal RNA (114 nucleotides) under Crocodylus porosus (Australian saltwater crocodile). Lineage: Eukaryota; Metazoa; Chordata; Crocodylia; Crocodylidae. The record is from RNAcentral.
AACAGUGGUUCUUUAUGUUGAUCUGUGAUCUGCUCAGAUCUCACAAGCUAAGCAGACUUUGGUUAGAUCAGUGCUGGGAUGGGCAACUAGCCAAGAAAUUCUAGGUGGCUGAUC